This 253-nucleotide ribosomal RNA is filed under the name uncultured bacterium. RNAcentral's name for it is "partial 16S ribosomal RNA". It matches the Rfam family "Bacterial small subunit ribosomal RNA", at positions 524 to 776 of the family's 1533-position model. The record is from RNAcentral.
UACGAAGGGGGCUAGCGUUGUUCGGAAUUACUGGGCGUAAAGCGCACGUAGGCGGCUGAUUAAGUCAGGGGUGAAAUCCCGAGGCUCAACCUCGGAACUGCCCUUGAUACUGGCCAUCUCGAGUCCGGAAGAGGUUAGUGGAAUUCCCAGUGUAGAGGUGAAAUUCGUAGAUAUUGGGAAGAACACCAGUGGCGAAGGCGGCUAACUGGUCCGGUACUGACGCUGAGGAGCGAAAGCUAGGGGAGCAAACGGG